Molecule: transfer RNA, 79 nt
Filed under: Acropora cervicornis
Lineage: Eukaryota; Metazoa; Cnidaria; Anthozoa; Scleractinia; Acroporidae
Description: tRNA-Ala
Rfam family: tRNA (bases 10-74)
About the family: Transfer RNA (tRNA) molecules are approximately 80 nucleotides in length. Their secondary structure includes four short double-helical elements and three loops (D, anti-codon, and T loops). Further hydrogen bonds mediate the characteristic L-shaped molecular structure. tRNAs have two regions of fundamental functional importance: the anti-codon, which is responsible for specific mRNA codon recognition, and the 3' end, to which the tRNAs corresponding amino acid is attached (by aminoacyl-tRNA synthetases). tRNAs cope with the degeneracy of the genetic code in two manners: having more than one tRNA (with a specific anti-codon) for a particular amino acid; and 'wobble' base-pairing, i.e. permitting non-standard base-pairing at the 3rd anti-codon position.
Source: RNAcentral
ACCUGAUGAUCAUAGCUCAGUUGGUAAGAGCACUGCGCCAGCAUCGCAGAAGUCAUAGAUUCGAAUCCCGUUGAAGGCA